Molecule: long non-coding RNA, 2914 nt
Organism: Lotus japonicus
Lineage: Eukaryota; Viridiplantae; Streptophyta; Magnoliopsida; Fabales; Fabaceae
Exons: 2
Source: RefSeq, a predicted model, not a curated record
UUUCACUUGGAUUAAAUCUCAGCCAUCGAUUUACAAUAAGUUAUUAUUUAUGGAUCAAAUCUUGGCCAUCCAAAUCCUCCAGCAAUCUCCUUCUUUAUUUCACUGAUGGUUUGGUUUCUCCUUUUUCAUCUGUUUUCAUUCUUCUGGUGUUUUUAAUCGCGUGCACGUUCUCCUUUCAUGUCUUCCAUUCCAUCUUCACUCUCUUUGUUUGCGAUGUUGAGGCCAGGGAUUCCUCUCCCCGUUACAUCGCAAGGCCCUCUCUUUAACCCCCAAAGUUGUGGCUGUCGUUUUUUUCCGCAGCGGCAUCGACAUCGACGACGAGGUGGAGACCCUGAGGGCUCCGGCGGCCUGCGAGGUAGGGGAGAUAGGUGGAUGGCGAACUGAGGAAUCUGUCCCGUCCAUUAGGAACUGAGGAAUCGACUGCGAGAUUUGCACAACAGAUAUUAAAUCGCAGCCCUUUGCGGCUUAACAUUAUUUUCUUCUUGGCAGAUUUGCGGCUUCACUUAUCUGUGGUUCGUAGUCUACUAGGAGGUCCAGAAGAAGAAUACAAGCGCAUUUGGCUGACAUGGUGUUGAAGUGGUGAUUCAAAGUAUCUGCUUAAAAUUGGCAUUGAGUGCUACUGAUAAAAUCGGAUGUGGAAGCACUAUUUUUGGUUGGGGAGUGGAGAUAAGCAUUGAGUGCUACUCAGCUGCAUUUUGCAACAAUCUCAGGCUUUGAUCAAAUAUCAAUUGGGGGUAUUAUCAUUGAAAUUCAAUUUACCUUCCAAGUCCUAUCAUGAUGUAGGAUAUAACUGGGUUUUAUAUUACAAGGCUAUUUUUUAAGACUAUAUAUCUAAGAAAAUAUUCUUAAUUUAGAGAAAGAUCACUUAUAAUAAUUAAUAAAGAAUUGUUUGUUCCAAGAAUUUUCGUUGCUGUGUAACAUUUCUCAUGUUGAAAUCACUUUAUCUAUGUACCAGGUCAGGGUAGGUUUAUGUGAGUGUGAAUUCCCUCAGUAUUGUGACUCUCAAAGAUGAGUUUCACCAAGAUGGAAAUGAGAAGGUUUGACAUAUAAUUCAUCAAAUGGGGAAAUUGUUGCUAUUUUCAGAAUUUAAGAGCUGUGAACGGAUAUGGCCUUUUGUCUGUUGUAGAACUUGAUAUGUUAUUUUUGGGGGAUAAUGAGUAUCAGGAUUUUGGUGUUAAAUCUUUCAAUUGAAAAGCACUAUUUCUGUACUUCACAUAUUAUGAGAUGACCACGGGGUUCCUUUGAGAUCUAUGUUGUACAUUCAAAUAUCUCUACUGCAAAAUUACAUCUGCAACUUAAAAUCAUGUCAGUAAUAUACUUCCUAAUUCUAUGCUCCUUCUGGAUUAGUGGCUAUCUACCCUAUCUUGGUGUGUUUAUCUUUUAAUCUAAUAGUUUGUUAGAAGUUGAGAGGCCCAAACAUGCUUUGUUCUCCCAAUUUGAGGGGCUCUUAUUGGAGUUUGAUGAUUUUCUUAAGGGGCUGUUUGGUAUAUGAGGGACCCUUAUUCCUUCACAUGGUUUUUUUAUUGACUAGGUAGUAGGUAGUACUAUAGUUUCAAUGAGCAUAACGUUAUCUGCACAAGAGGAAAAUGAUUGAAGGUACUUCUUUUCUUUCUCUAAUUUAUCUCCUUCUACAGAGCCUUCAUUUGAAACCUUUUGACUUGAGUAUCUCUCAUGAAAAUACUUUUUUCUAUCUUUGAACUAAUCUGAAUCCCCUUUCUACUUGGCAAAUUAAAAGAAUUGUAGGUGCUUAUUUUGUUUCCUCAUUUUUAUUGCUUGCAAUUUUCUCUUUCUUGCAAUUUCUAUCUUUACUACAUGAUUUUGUGCACGUGUUUAUUGGCUUUCACACAUGAUUUGUUGGGUGUGUCUAUAAAAAAGUAGUUUCAUGUAUUUUUGUUUCAAUGAGCAUAACCUGAGGUCUGUUCUGCUUUUAUUAGUUGUAUCUUGAUACUACCGUGCUGAAUUUUAUAUUUGUGUGCAUUUGCCCUUGAGUAAUAGAUUAGGAAGCUUUGAAUGGAUAGUUUUAGGCAUUGAAUAGCACUUGACUUUACAUAAGACUUGGCCUCUAAAAUAUCAAAUCGCUUAAAAGAGGAAACUUGAUAAGAGAAAAGGGUGGUAGGAUUCUACCGGUUAAAUUGUUUGACUAAGUCUAUUUUCAAAUUUAUAUUAUUUUGAUUGUUUCAAAUUCUGAUGUAACAAUUGCAAUGCAUGCCAAUGAGUAUAUAGUUUCUGAAAAUUUUCUUUUCAUGACUCUUUCUAGAUUCUUUUGUCUAUCCGGUUACUCACUCCCUAUUUAUUUGUUGGCUUGCUGAAAAAGAUCCAGGAAACAAACUCAUGCUUUUGUAUUCAUUGCUUUCACGCUUAGUGGCCUCCAAAGCACUGAGAACCAAAUGAAUUCAAUAUGUUAUCAAGAAGAAGCAAAGUGCAGGUUGUGCCAAGAAGAAGUCAAUGGUGGAGCACACACAAGAGGAUCAUGAAGCUCACUCAUGGGAACAUCAAAUACAGUACCAAGUCAAGAGCCUAGAGAAUGUUUGCAUGUGUUUAGUGAAGCUCCAUCCUCAAGCUCAUCUUCAUCUUCCUGCCACAGUCCUAUUCUUGCCAAAUUUCUCAGCUUCAAAUUACAAGCUGAGAUGAUGAAGGGUCUCAAACAGUCCUCUUUGUGACAUGAGAAUGUGAAAUCAAGCUAGCAUUAAUUUUAAAGUGAUCCAUGUUUAUUUAUCAUAAAAAAGUGAUCCAUGUUUAUGAUACGUUUAUGUUUCAUCUAUCAAGUUUCAUGGCCACAUGUUAUGCUAUAGAGAUGGUUUGACAUUGGUGAAUGCCAUAUGUUACAUUAUGGCAUACUAUUUUUUAUUAGAGCUUAUUUUAUAUGUAAUAAUUUGUUUUCUCUUACAUAUAUGUAAUACCUAUCAUUAUUUAA